AGGCACCAUGGAGUAAGGCAGGCAGAAGCGUUAGGGAGGAGGAUGACCACCUCUUUUGGGGAAGAAGAUUUAAAACCUGGUCUAUCAUCCAUUAUGUUUCACAGAUUUCCCUAAAGGAGGAAAGAACAGGACUGUAGAUUUAGAACCCAGGAAAGUACUUUCAUAAUGCCAAGGAUCUGAACUCUUCAUUUGAAAAACAAGCAUGCCCACUCAACAGCCAUAGGCAGCAUCUGUCAGUCACAAUCUAGGCUAAUUUGCAAAAUGAGCCUUGAAAGGAAGGUCUUGGUCUUGCUAGAAUCCCAUGAAGCGGUCGAUGAAGCAGACACUGGAAAGGGCCCCUUCCUCCUUCAGAGAGCCUCGUUCUUACACAAGGGCCAAGAAACAGGACAUCUAAGGACUUGGAAGCCCCAGGCACGUGACCCCCGGCCUCUCUGUUCUCCAGCUAAGGAACACUUUAUGGCCUUCACAUUUAUUUAUGUAUUUCCUGGACCUACUUUGUACUAGGCCAAGGGAAGUGAGCUGAAUAAGACCCAGCGGGGUUGAGAGACAUAAAAAUGGCUUAUUGAAAUUCAAUACUCCAAGGGCUGGAAGAGAUGGAUGAGUAGCGAGCCGGAGGAGCACAAAGGAAGGAGUCCCGCUGUCUGCCUAGGGAAUGCUUGAGGAAAUAAGAAUAGCCCACAUUUAUUAAGCACACAGUACAAGCAAGCAGUCUAUUAAAUGCCUUACAUGAUGUAUCUCAUUUAAUCCUCAUGUGGAAGGGAAAGGAACCACAUGUGUCUAUUGAGAAGUGACUGUUCUAAGCACUGUGUUAAAUGCUUUGCAGAAAUGAUUCUGUCUUCUUCUCUUGAUAACUGUGGCAUAUACAUAUCAU
This 871-nucleotide long non-coding RNA is filed under the name Gorilla gorilla gorilla (western lowland gorilla). RNAcentral describes it as "lncRNA (ENSGGOG00000044507.1)". Lineage: Eukaryota; Metazoa; Chordata; Mammalia; Primates; Hominidae. The record is from RNAcentral.